This 1005-nucleotide ribosomal RNA is filed under the name uncultured bacterium. RNAcentral describes it as "bacterial SSU rRNA". It matches the Rfam family "Bacterial small subunit ribosomal RNA", at positions 356 to 1376 of the family's 1533-position model. The record is from RNAcentral.
CGGGAAUAUUGCGCAAUGGAGGAAACUCUGACGCAGUGACGCCGCGUAUGGGAAGAAGGUUUUCGGAUUGUAAACCUCUGUUUUUAGUGAAGAAACAAAUGACGGUAGCUAAAGAGGAAGCCACGGCUAACUACGUGCCAGCAGCCGCGGUAAUACGUAGGUGGCAAGCGUUGUCCGGAAUUACUGGGUGUAAAGGGUGCGCAGGCGGGAUUGCAAGUUGGAUGUGAAAUACCGGGGCUUAACCCCGGAGCUGCAUCCAAAACUGUAGUUCUUGAGUGGAGUAGAGGUAAGCGGAAUUCCGAGUGUAGCGGUGAAAUGCGUAGAUAUUCGGAGGAACACCAGUGGCGAAGGCGGCUUACUGGGCUCUAACUGACGCUGAGGCACGAAAGCAUGGGUAGCAAACAGGAUUAGAUACCCUGGUAGUCCAUGCUGUAAACGAUGAAUGCUAGGUGUGGGGGGACUGACCCCUUCCGUGCCGGAGUAAACACAAUAAGCAUUCCACCUGGGGAGUACGACCGCAAGGUUGAAACUCAAAGGAAUUGACGGGGGCCCGCACAAGCAGUGGAGUAUGUGGUUUAAUUCGAAGCAACGCGAAGAACCUUACCAGGGCUUGACAUAUAGAUGAAUAAUUAAGAGAUUAGUUAGUCCUUCGGGACAUCUAUACAGGUGGUGCAUGGUUGUCGUCAGCUCGUGUCGUGAGAUGUUGGGUUAAGUCCCGCAACGAGCGCAACCCCUGUUUCUAGUUGCCAGCACGUAAAGGUGGGAACUCUAGAGAGACUGCCGGUGAUAAACCGGAGGAAGGUGGGGAUGACGUCAAAUCAUCAUGCCCCUUAUGGCCUGGGCUACACACGUACUACAAUGGCGUCUACAAAGAGCGGCAAGCCUGUGAAGGCAAGCGAAUCUCAUAAAGGACGUCUCAGUUCGGAUUGAAGUCUGCAACCCGACUUCAUGAAGCUGGAAUCGCUAGUAAUCGCGAAUCAGCAUGUCGCGGUGAAUACGUUCUCG